CCUACGGGAGGCAGCAGUAAGGAAUAUUGGUCAAUGGACGCAAGUCUGAACCAGCCGUGCCGCGUGGAGGAUGAAGGUCCUCUGGAUUGUAAACUUCUUUUAUUUGGGAAGAAACCCACCUUUUCUUGGGUGGUUGACGGUACUAGAUGAAUAAGCACCGGUUAACUCCGUGCCAGCAGCCGCGGUAAU
RNAcentral lists this ribosomal RNA (189 nucleotides) under uncultured bacterium. RNAcentral's name for it is "partial 16S ribosomal RNA". It matches the Rfam family "Bacterial small subunit ribosomal RNA", at positions 338 to 524 of the family's 1533-position model. The record is from RNAcentral.